This 460-nucleotide ribosomal RNA is filed under the name uncultured Rhodococcus sp. Its description in RNAcentral is "bacterial SSU rRNA". It matches the Rfam family "Bacterial small subunit ribosomal RNA", at positions 923 to 1382 of the family's 1533-position model. The record is from RNAcentral. Lineage: Bacteria; Bacillati; Actinomycetota; Actinomycetes; Mycobacteriales; Nocardiaceae.
GCACAAGCGGCGGAGCAUGUGGAUUAAUUCGAUGCAACGCGAAGAACCUUACCUGGGUUUGACAUACACCGGAAAACCGUAGAGAUACGGUCCCCCGUUGUGGUCGGUGUACAGGUGGUGCAUGGCUGUCGUCAGCUCGUGUCGUGAGAUGUUGGGUUAAGUCCCGCAACGAGCGCAACCCUUUGCUUAUGUUGCCAGCACGUAAUGGUGGGGACUCGUAAGAGACUGCCGGGGUCAACUCGGAGGAAGGUGGGGACGACGUCAAGUCAUCAUGCCCCUUAUGUCCAGGGCUUCACACAUGCUACAAUGGCCAGUACAGAGGGCUGCGAGACCGUGAGGUGGAGCGAAUCCCUUAAAGCUGGUCUCAGUUCGGAUCGGGGUCUGCAACUCGACCCCGUGAAGUCGGAGUCGCUAGUAAUCGCAGAUCAGCAACGCUGCGGUGAAUACGUUCCCGGGCCUU